Molecule: ribosomal RNA, 409 nt
Filed under: Sphaerodactylus richardi
Lineage: Eukaryota; Metazoa; Chordata; Lepidosauria; Squamata; Sphaerodactylidae
Description: partial 16S ribosomal RNA
Rfam family: Bacterial large subunit ribosomal RNA
Source: RNAcentral
GUAUGAAUGGCCACAUGAGAGCCCAACUGUCUCCUAUGACCAAUCAAUGAACCUGAUCUUCCAGUACAAAAGCCGGAAUAAACCCAUAAGACGAGAAGACCCUGUGGAGCUUAAAAUAUAAAUGCUACCCACAACUACAACCAAUAGGCCCACAAGACAAAUAUAGCACACAUUUUUAGUUGGGGCGACUGCGGAAUCAAACUUAACUUCCACGACACUAACCAUAAAUUUUACACCAGGUCAACAAACCAAUUCACCACUUUGACCCAGUAAUACUGAUCAACGAACCAAGUUACCCCAGGGAUAACAGCGCCAUCCUCUUUUAGAGCCCAUAUCGCCAAGAGGGUUUACGACCUCGAUGUUGGAUCAGGACCCCCAGGUGGUGCAACCGCUACCAACGGUUCGUUUG